UUAUCCACGUGUUGCCUUCCUUUUAGUUUUGUUGUUGUAUAGUCAUUUUAUUUUAUAAGCAUAUGUCAUUCAAGGUGACCUUUAAAGAGGAUGCUUAUGAAAGGGAAAACUUUCUGGCUACAAAAUAUCCUUACAGGCAUUAGAUAUAUAAUCUUUAUAUACAUGGAGAUGCACUUUACAGGAGCAUUGCAAGUGUUUGAUGGAUAUCAACUGAACUUGCUGCCUUGUCUAGUCAGCAACAUGGUGCCUCGUUUCAAAAGCAAAGCAGCAACGAUAAUUUGUUCCAGCAAAAUCUGGGCAUAUCCAAUGAUCUCUCAAGUGAUCCCAACCAACAUUCACACAGAUCCUUGAAAAGCUAUACCAUGCCAGCCACGUCAUCAUUGGAAAUGAGUUGGUGAAGCUAGCAUCCAUUCAGCUCUCAUUCAAUGAUUGUGCUUCUGCAAUGGAUACCAUAAGACGGGUAGAUGCAAUAUUUUCACUGUAUUAUGGAUCUCACACGUCGAAGCUAUUUCCAUAUUUGGAAAAUCUCAAAAGAAAAGUUCUCAAGCUCGCUCCAUAAUGAGAAACCUUCUGUUUUAUCUGUUCAGGUUAGUAGCACACGCUUUUGCUUCUUGCACCAAUUUUUUUUCAAGGAAUGCUAAUUGCUCAACCUUAAUACAAUAAAGUUCUCAUUUAAUAGGUAUGAUCAUAAUCCAUGUGCAAUUGGAAUGCCUCAUUCAAGCUCAUCUUCUUUGAUUUUCACCCCUGUUUUCCUCAUUUUUUUCUUUUGAAUGUUACUUGGGUAAGAGAUUGUCUGUGAUAUCUUUUAACAUAUAAUGGCCUACAUGCAUAUGCCUUACUGUAAAAGAUGGCUAUGGUUCCUAUCAUUGCCUUGCUUGGAUGGAAAUUUUUCUCUAACAUUGAAUUUGAAGGUUACUACAUUUUUUCUCUAGUCUUUGAUUUAUAUAGAAAAAAAAAUCAAGAAAAAAAAGUUGUGCAGAUUUUGGUACGGAAGAACUCAAUCAAAAGCUAUUUGGAGUUGUGUUUCUCUUGUUUCUUUUAUUUCCAAUGACUCUUAAGUAAAUAAAGAAAAUUUUGCAGACUCAUUGAUAUAAACCCAACCAAAAGCUAUUUGUGGAAUUGGGUUUCCAUUGUUUCUUCAUUUCCAAUUUUAUGCAGGGGUGAGCCCUCAACGGUUCAAGCUUCGGGAAUGUAAACCCGAAGUUUCUGCUACGUGUCAGACAUGGUAUGUGGUAGAUACUUUCUUCCUCCU
Magnolia sinica is the source of this 1252-nucleotide long non-coding RNA. RefSeq lists it as uncharacterized. The record is from RefSeq and is a predicted model, not a curated record. Lineage: Eukaryota; Viridiplantae; Streptophyta; Magnoliopsida; Magnoliales; Magnoliaceae. The transcript is spliced from 3 exons.